UAAAGUACAUAAGAGCGCACAGGUGGAUACCUUGGCAUCACAGGCGACGAAGGACGUAGCAAGCUGCGAUAAGCUUGGGGGAGCUGCUAACAAGCGAUGAUCCCGAGAUUUCCGAAUGGGGCAACCCACGUACCGUCAUGGGUACGUACUUCCUGAUGAAUUCAAUAGUCAGGAUAGAGCACACGCGGUGAACUGAAACAUCUAAGUAGCCGCAGGAACAGACAUCAACCGAGAUUCCCGUAGUAGUGGCGAGCGAACCGGGAACAGCCUAAACCGUCUACGUGUAAGCGAUCGGGCGUUGCGUAGUCGGGGUUGUACGACAACCAUCUCCAAGCUGAUCUUUGGGGCAACAGUUACAAAACGAUUCGGAAUCAGAAGCCGGCUGGAAAGCCGCACCAUAGAGGGUGAUAGUCCCGUACGUUAAUCCUUGUCGACUGUUGGAGUUGUUCGUGAGUAGGGCGGGGCACGAGAAACCCUGUCUGAAGCUGGGAGGACCAUCUUCCAAGGCUAAAUAUUCUGUGAUGACCGAUAGUGAACUAGUACCGUGAGGGAAAGGUGAAAAGAACCCCCGAAGGGGAGUGAAAUAGAAUAUGAAACCGUGCGCUUACAAACCGUGAAAGGCCCAUGCGCAAGCAAGGCUAAUCGCGUGCCUAUUGAAGAAUGAACCUGCGAGUUACGUGGUACGGGCGUGGUUAAGGUGUUGAGCCGGAGCCGCAGCGAAAGCGAGUCUGAAUAGGGCGUUCGUCCGUAUCAGUAGACCCGAAACCAGGCGAUCUAUCCAUGAGCAGGUUGAAGCAUGAUUAAACUCAUGUGGAGGACCGAACCUGUCGUUGUUGAAAAAACGUUGGAUGACUUGUGGAUAGGGGUGAAAAGCCAAUCGAGCCUGGAGAUAGCUGGUUCUCCCCGAAAUAGUUUGAGGACUAGCGUUGGGAUUUAAAUCACGGGGGUAGAGCACUGACAGAGCUAGGGGGCUUACCGGCUUACCGAACUCCAUCAAACUCCGAAUACCGAGAUGAAUAUCCCAGCAGUCAGACAGUGGGGGAUAAGCUCCAUUGUCAAAAGGGAAACAGCCCAGAGCAACAGCUAAGGUCCCUAAUAGAUGCUCAGUGGUAAAGGAAGUCAUGUCGCAUAGACAACUAGGAGGUUGGCUUAGAAGCAGCCACCCUUGAAAGAGUGCGUAAUAGCUCACUAGUCGAGUGAUGUGGCGCCGAAAAUGUAACGGGGCUCAAGCAUCUAACCGAAGCUUUGCGAUCGAGCAAUCGAUCGGUAGGGGAGCGUUGUGGCGUAGGCUGAAGCUAGACCGUGAGGACUAGUGGACGAACCACAAGUGCGAAUGCAGGUAUAAGUAGCGACAAAUGAGAGUGAGAACCUCUCACGCCGGAAGUCUAAGGUUUCCUGAGCUACGUCAAUCGUCUCAGGGUGAGUCGGGUCCUAAGCCGAGGCUGAGAAGCGUAGGCGAUGGCCAUGCCGUUCAUAUUCGGCAACCACCGAUGUCCGUUCGAUUUCCAUCAUGCCAUACCAACCACGGGUAAAACCGGGGGUUGUUAUCGUUUGAUGGCGAUCGUGAAGUGAAGGGAUGACGCAGGAAGAUAAGUCAGCACCCUAUUGGAUGGGUGUCCAAGCAGGUAGGCCGUAACAUAGGCAAAUCCGUGUUGCAAGGCCGAGAUGUGAGUGCGAGAACCUUCGGGUUUGAAGUGAUUGACUCUACGCUGCCAAGAAAAGUCUCUAACGAGGUUCAUAGGUGCCCGUACCGUACACCGACACAGGUAGACUGGCAGAGCAUGCUAAGGCGACGGGAGAACCCCUGUUAAGGAACUCGGCAAAUUAACCCCGUAACUUUGGGAGAAGGGGUGCCCCUUUUAGUCUGGUCUUUACGACGAAAGCUGAGGGGGGUUGCAAUAACAAGGCCCAAGCGACUGUUUAACAAAAACACAGGUCUCUGCGAACGCGAAAGCGGACGUAUAGGGGCUGACUCCUGCCCGGUGCUGGAAGGUUAAAGGGAGAGGUUAGCGCAAGCGAAGCUUUGAUCUGAAGCCCCAGUAAACGGCGGCGGUAACUAUAACCGUCCUAAGGUAGCGAAAUUCCUUGUCGGGUAAGUUCCGACCUGCACGAAUGGAGUAAUGAUGGCCACACUGUCUCCUCCAGAGACUCAGCGAAGUUGAAAUGUUUGUGAUGAUGCAAUCUCCCCGCGGAAAGACG
RNAcentral lists this ribosomal RNA (2199 nucleotides) under metagenomes. RNAcentral's name for it is "bacterial LSU rRNA". It matches the Rfam family "Bacterial large subunit ribosomal RNA", at positions 1 to 2082 of the family's 2925-position model. The record is from RNAcentral.